AACGAACGCUGGCGGCAUGCCUAACACAUGCAAGUCGAACGAGACCUUCGGGUCUAGUGGCGCACGGGUGCGUAACGCGUGGGAACCUGCCCUUAGGUUCGGAAUAACUCCCCGAAAGGGGUGCUAAUACCGGAUAAUGUCUUCGGACCAAAGAUCUAUCGCCUUUGGAUGGGCCCGCGUUGGAUUAGCGAGUUGGUAGGGUAAAAGCCUACCAAGGCGACGUUCCAUAGCUGGUCGGAGAGGAUGAUCAGCCACACUGGGACUGAGACACGGCCCAGACUCCUACGGGAGGCAGCAGUGGGGAAUAUUGGACAAUGGGCGAAGGCCUGAUCCAGCAAUGCGGCGUGAGUGAUGAAGGCCUUAGGGUUGUAAAGCUCUUUUACCCGGGAUGAUAAUGACAGUACCGGGAGAAUAAGCUCCGGCUAACUCCGUG
RNAcentral lists this ribosomal RNA (433 nucleotides) under uncultured bacterium. RNAcentral describes it as "partial 16S ribosomal RNA". It matches the Rfam family "Bacterial small subunit ribosomal RNA", at positions 29 to 507 of the family's 1533-position model. The record is from RNAcentral.